Molecule: long non-coding RNA, 1876 nt
Organism: Hypanus sabinus (Atlantic stingray)
Lineage: Eukaryota; Metazoa; Chordata; Chondrichthyes; Myliobatiformes; Dasyatidae
Exons: 3
Source: RefSeq, a predicted model, not a curated record
CUUUCACCCAGACAGACCUGGACCAUAUCCGGUAUAGACCAUCCCCUUUCACCCAGACAGACACAGACCAUAUCCAGUAUAGACCACCCCCUUUCACCCAGACAGACCUGGACCAUAUCCAUUAUAGACCACCCUCUUUCACCCAGACAGACCCAGACCAUAUCCAGUAUAGACCACCCCCUUUCACCCAGACAGACCUGGACCAUAUCCGGUAUAGACCACCACCCUUUCACCCAGACAGACCUGGACUAUAUCCGGUAUAGACCACCCCCUUUCACCCAGACAGACCUGGACCAUAUCCAGUAUAGACCACCCACUUUCACCCAGACAGACCUGGACCAUAUCCAGUAUAGACCACCCCCUUUCACCCAGACAGACCAGGACCAUAUCCGUUAGAGACCACCCCCUUUCACCCAGACAGACCCAGACCAUAUCCGUUAGAGACCACACCCUUUCACCCAGACAGACCAGGACCAUAUCCGUUAGAGACCACCCCCUUUCACCCAGACAGACCCAGACCAUAUCCGUUAGAGACCACACCCUUUCACCUAGACAGACCUGGACCUUGUCCCAGAUAGACCAUGAGGAAAUCUGCAGAUGCUGGAAAUUUAAGCAACACACACAAUAAAUGGUGGAUCGCAGGACUGACGAAAGGUCUCGGCCGAAAACGUCGACAAUGCUUCUUCCUAUAGAUGCUGCCUAGCCUGCUGCGUUCCAUCAGCAUUUUGUGUGUGUCGCAGUAUAGAUGUACAGAAGAAUCUUGGGUGCAGUCUACAACUCCAUGAAUUCAAAUGUACGUUAAUCACCACCUAGGAUUUCUUCCAAUAAUUCUCCAACCACUACUAGUCUCACUGAGAUAUCCCUGCUGGCCUUCUAAGGUCUCCUGUGACGUAUGAUGUGGAGGUUGGUGGAAAACAGAGCAAGACAAUGGACAAGCCUUUAAAGGGGAAUAAAUAGACAAGAUACUGAAGCUCAUGUAUUCUAUAUUUCAAAGCUGUACUUUCUGUUCUAAUUUGAAAGAUCUCCCAGUUAAAUUCUGGGAAGAAUACUUUGAGAAGAUAAAAGCUUUUAUAUAUAUGGCUCUGCAUUCCCUCUGCUGACUUUUUGCUUGGCUUUAAAAGGGAGUUGCACUCAGUCCUCAGCUACAGCAAAUAGCCAGAAGUUAGUCAAAUAAAUACAUUUUAAGGAUCAUCUUUAAAAAAAAAUAAUUGGAAAUGUUUAAAAGGAAUUCCAAAGUUUGAACAAAAACUAAUGGUAGAGCAAUUAAAUACAGAGAUGACCAAGGGACUAGAAAUUAGUCAUCUUUUAAACUUAAACCACUUUUGAUCAGUUGGAACACUUCUUUCCCACUGCCAUCAGGUUCUUGAACUGACCUAAAAGCACUAAUUCAAAUUCAAAUUACAUUUCCCUCCGCUUCAUUUAAAAUCAUAUUUACUUUUGUCUUGUUUUGUUGUGAAAGAUAUAGAUGAUUAUGUAAUUUAUAUUUGUCAUACUAGAAAUGGCAUUUAGCCUCUGGGUAUGCAUGCACAAGACAAACAACUUGAACUUGAUGGGUGAAAGGGGCUCAUGGGCAGCAGAUUAGCUCAAGUUUAAGACAGCAAAAGAAGUAGGGCAAUCAGAAAUGCACUCCAAUAGUCAAGCCUAAAGGCAAGGAAGACAAAAUGUUAACAGUACAGGCCAGUAGCUAAGAUUAAACAGUAGGCUAAUUUAGCUUAACCAGACAUUCCAUUCAUUUCUAUUAGUUCAAGAACUAAGACCAGGCUAAAAUAUUGCAAUUUAUUGGGGAUGUAUUUUUCAUUUAAUCCGUUUUAAAAUUAAAGGUAAAGUCAUGAAUGUUUAGACUUUACAGACCAUCACUUCUAACUGGAAUUUAUAA